GAACUCAGGGAAGUCAAUGGUCCCAUUCCCAUCAGCAUCAACUUCAUUGAUCAUGUCUUGAAGCUCAGCCUCAGUUGGGUUCUGCCCCAAUGACCGCAUCACGGUUCCAAGCUCCUUAGUUGUGAUGCAACCUGCAGCACAGUUGCACAUAGUUAUUGAACAUGUUAAGUUUUAAGAGCUUACAGGUUACAAACACUUAAAACUAGUUUUUCACAUCCCCUCUCUCCCUUUUCCGCAGUUCUCUGCUCAAAGUGUACAACAACAAUAAGUUAGCCUCAAUCCCAAACAAGUUGGGAACAGUGAUAUGAAUCCUCACUCCUCCAUUCAAAGUGUAAGAAAGGAGAAAGAUAAACACAAGUUUCAUCACAAUAAUAAGAAUCCUAUGAAUGAUCCCAACAAUGAGGAAUACAGUUAACCAACAUUAAUAAGAACCCUAUGUGGCGAUCUCCAUAUAUAAGGAAGAAAAGCAAAAGGAAACUCAUAUCCAAACAGAACAGAAAUAAAAUUGGCAAAAUCACUUGAAUUCCAUUCAUCUAAAAGCAUCAACUAUUUCAAGAGGCAGCAGCUACUCAUAUUCGAGUACUAACUCUUGCUACCACUAUAUUUUACUUAUUACUGCUAUCUUCCAAUAGCAUACUACCAGCUUGUGGAUGUUUAUAGUUGCAUAUAAUUACAAACUUGGGUUUUUCUCAAGCACAUCUAUAGACUUGGACGCUCUUUUCUUGAAGUCAACACAUUACCACAUUGAACAAAUGGAAACAAUCCAUCAAGAAAUAAAGUCAAAGGUAUCAUGAUCCACAAAAAAAAAGGCAAUUGACUUGUAUAACUUGAUAUAAUCAAGAAAAAUGCAACUCCCAAAAACACGGUUUUCAAAACUUUCCAAACAAACAAAUUCCUAACUACCAAGAAAUAUCAGCCAAAGAAUUCGACACAUUGACCCAAAAUCUAGAAGCCACCAAUUUCUUUUUUCACCCAAGGAUGUUGCCUAGUUGUCAAUGCAGUGAGUUGGUUCAAAUCUCAGCGGAGGUUAAGACAAUAGGCGAUUUCUUCCCACUUAACCAGUACUUGUGGUGGAGGUAGCAAGUACCUAAUGAAUUAGUCAAGUGCAUACAAGUUAACCCAAUACCACCGUUAUCAAGCGAAAAAAGAUCUAGAAGCCACCAGCUUCACAAUGGAUCCAUCCAAACCCAAACCCAAAUUGAAACUACUCAGCUAAAGAAACAGCAUGUCCAACAAUCAAACACCGAAUCCCAGAAUUUCCCCAUAAUGAACACAAAUCUCAUAAUCCGCACAUCAAUAUCAAAUCAUGUAUCAAAACAACUGCCAAUCCAAAUUCUAGAAGCUACCAGUUUAACAUAAACUCAUCUUCAUAUCCAUUUCUAUCAAAACAGCAUAACAAAGAAUUAAACACCAAAUCCAACAAUAUUCCCUUAAUAAACAAAAACUCUAAAC
Molecule: long non-coding RNA, 1452 nt
Filed under: Solanum lycopersicum (tomato)
Lineage: Eukaryota; Viridiplantae; Streptophyta; Magnoliopsida; Solanales; Solanaceae
Description: long non-coding RNA (SLYC_LNC000973)
Source: RNAcentral